AAAAUACUCCCUUCGUCCGGAAAUACUUGUCAUCAAAAUGGAUUAAGGGGAUGUAUCUAGACGUAUUUUAGUUCUAGAUACAUCUCUUUCUAUCCAUUUUGAUGACAAGUAUUUUCGGAUGGAGGGAGCAAUAG
Non-coding RNA from Triticum urartu, 134 nucleotides. NCBI's taxonomy places the organism in Eukaryota, Viridiplantae, Streptophyta, Magnoliopsida, Poales, Poaceae. The record is from Rfam.